This 276-nucleotide ribosomal RNA is filed under the name uncultured bacterium. RNAcentral describes it as "partial 16S ribosomal RNA". It matches the Rfam family "Bacterial small subunit ribosomal RNA", at positions 82 to 354 of the family's 1533-position model. The record is from RNAcentral.
CUCCCGCCGGCGACCGGCGCACGGGUGAGUAACACGUAUGAAACCUGCCCGUAGCAGGGGGAUAAGCGGAAGAAAUUCCGUCUAAUACCGCGUAACAACCCAUGGAGGCAUCUCUGUGGGUUUAAAGGAAGCGAUUCCGGCUACGGAUGGUCAUGCGUCGCAUUAGCUUGUUGGCGGGGUAACGGCCCACCAAGGCGACGGUGCGUAGGGGUUCUGAGAGGAAGGUCCCCCACACUGGUACUGAGACACGGACCAGACUCCUACGGGAGGCAGCAG